UUUAGGGUCGAACCCACAACUUUUGUUCUGCUAAUGCAAUGCUCUACAAGUUGAGCUACAGGAACCUAUGGAAAGGGUGUCUGGCCUUCAGAGUCACAUCUGUACAUAUGGAUCAGCAGUCAUGACUCAGUGUAGCUCUGAUGGACAGCCGCCUUACAUGAUGGUUUGAAGAUUCAGAUGGUGCCUGGAAGAGAAUAACAGACGCUUCGAUGUUGGAGAAAAAUGAAUGCACAGCUGGAAGAGGUUUGUCAUUC
Non-coding RNA from Misgurnus anguillicaudatus (oriental weatherfish), 254 nucleotides. The record is from RefSeq and is a predicted model, not a curated record. Lineage: Eukaryota; Metazoa; Chordata; Actinopteri; Cypriniformes; Cobitidae.